CCACUUGAUCCAGGAGAUUCUAACUCAAAGAUAGUCGGGAUCCCAUAUCGAGCACAGAUGAUGCUCUAGUCCUUCGUGCCCAAUCUGGAUCCAAUUGUAUCAUGAAUGAAGGGGGGUGCAAAAUCACACCCUUCGCUCGCAUUGAUAGAAGCUUCCUCCGAAGAGGAAGAUGAAUUAGAAGAUCAAUUCUCGCUAAGACUCCUGGAACCC
This 210-nucleotide long non-coding RNA is filed under the name Elaeis guineensis (African oil palm). Its description in RNAcentral is "long non-coding RNA (EGUI_LNC033174)". The record is from RNAcentral. Lineage: Eukaryota; Viridiplantae; Streptophyta; Magnoliopsida; Arecales; Arecaceae.